AUUUGAUCCAAAAAUCUCCUAAGUGCUUUAAUGAAAAAAUAUUGAUUUAGAAAGGAGUUUGAGAAAUUAAAGAAGAAAAAGGUGAAAUUGAUGCCCCAAGGUAAUAGUUAUUAGUGUUUAUUUGAUGUCUAGAGGUUGGGAGUGAUAUAAAUAGUGUUAGAAACAUUCCCAUGAUUGAAGAAAAUGAGAAAAAUUAAAGCUUGAAGGAAUAAACAAUGUUCCCACUAUGUGUUUAUGAAAAUGCUUAAAAGAGAUAGGGCAAAAUAAAAGAAUGGGGUAGACAAAAGUGGUGUAAUUUGGUUGUUGGAGAUUAUUUUUAAAUGUUUAAUGUAGUGUAUUAAAGUAUUUAGAAAGGUUAGUCACUAUUCCCAAAUAGUUUCUACCCAUCCCUUAGCCUACAUUAUAACCCAGAAAAGACCUAUUUGAUCCUAAAUUCAUUAUUAUAAUACUAGUGGAGCAUUACACUAAAGGAAAGCCUAUGGUUCAUUGUGUGUAACUUGCUAAGUCUUUAUGAGAGUGAGUGUAAUUUGAUUUUUGUACCUGUAAUGUUCUAAAUUGCUUAAUUAUGAGUUAUUAUGGGUAACUCUCUUGUUGUGGAGGGCACAUGUUUGAUGAAUGUGGGUGAUUUGUAUGUUUUUCUUUAUUUAAUGAUAAGCAUGAUUUUUCCAAAUAAGUGAGUCAAUUCUUGAGGUUAGGAUGUUUUGGAGUAGUGUUCAUAAGCUCUCAAUUAUGUUUGUAACAUGCUUAGAGUAGAACUUGCAUUCCGUGUAGUCAUUGUAGUACUAUCUUGAGUGUAUUUCAUGUAGUAUAAGUAUAGAGUCUCUAGCUCAUGAUGUUUAUAGUGAAGAUUUGUUCGAGGAUGAACAAGAAGUAUGGGGUAGUGAUGUUGGGUGUAUUUAUAUAUUUUAGCAUCACUAUUCUAGCCUUUUUAGCCUUGUUUUGAGGAUGAUUCCAAGCUAUAUGGGUUGAUAAUGAGAUAAACGUGUAUCAAAGUGUUAAAGAAUGUGUUUAUGAUGUCCAAAUAGGGUUUCAACAAGUUUGUACUUCAAAGAUUCAUUUAGAAUUCAACCCCAAAAACUAGCGUUACUAGCUUGAGUUAGGUGCUUGUCUAGUUGAUUUUGGUGGAUUCUAGUGUGUGUAAAGUGUUUCUUAUGGUUUUAAUGUGUAAUUAUGAGUGUAAUAACUUGUUGUUAGUGAGAAAAAUUCAAUUUUAUUGAGUGUACAGCUGGAACAAUAAGUUGAAGAUUAACAUGAACUAGCCUAGUUUAGUUCUUGUUUUGAUUCAUCUUUAUAAGUAGUGUGUUGUGUUUGUCUCCUAAUUCAUGUGGUGUGAGUUUGUAAGAUAAUUUAAGAGAUGAAUAUGAUGAUAUUUUGAUGAUAAAAAGGCUUUAAAUCCAUGGAAAAUACACCACAGUACAAGGAACUAAGAGAGGAGACUCAACACUUAACCAAAAUUCGGAGAGCAACUUCCAGAGGCUCAGGGCGAUAUUGAGGCACCGCCCCACCUGGAGCAGG
This 1515-nucleotide long non-coding RNA is filed under the name Capsicum annuum. RNAcentral's name for it is "long non-coding RNA (CANN_LNC015637)". Lineage: Eukaryota; Viridiplantae; Streptophyta; Magnoliopsida; Solanales; Solanaceae. The record is from RNAcentral.